GGGCUCCUGGCUGCCCGCGUCUCCAUAGCGACCGCCUCUGGCCCGCCUCAGAAAUCAGGGCUCGCAGUGCUGGAUACUGAACGUGGGGCUCUGGCCAUGGUAGGCAAGGUCUGUACUACUGAGCUACAUCCUUGGUCCCAGGGGGGAACUUUUGGAUGUAUUCCCUCCUCUGCUCACUUUCUCCCUGUUUUGCCUCACCCAGGGCACUUCUGGGGCUCUACAUUGAUGGUUUUUUGUUUUUUGGGGAUUUUUGAUACCGGGGAUCGAACUCAGGACCUUGUGCUUUCGAAGCAGCCACCAGAACCACUAAAUCCCUGGCCCUUGUUUUUGUUUUUUAAUUCCACUCUCCUCUGAAAACUCGUUUUUGGAGAAAACUGUCAAUACAGAGACUUGAAUACAGAGCAGGGACAGGGUGGAAAGGAGAAACGGAAGCCCAAAGAGGUGAGGAGGCUUCUUCCCUCCUCAGCAGGUGGCCUCCAGAUCCUGGGUACUAGCCACAUACUAGGCUGCCUGCAGGAGCUGUGUUCAUGUUAUUUCAAAGUGAAGGAGAAACAAUCACAAAAAUGGAUUAAAACCUUUGAGGAAGCCUCCAAAGGCCUCACCUCCAGCCUUUUCUCAUUCCCCAGAUCUUUGCUAGUCUCUGGUGAGCUCUUCAGAUUCCAUUCCUACUUGAGGACCCUGUACCAAGCAGCCUAGCCCCCUUUUGGAGAUCAGCUGCUCAGGAGUCAGGCUGUCUCUUCUGGAAAAGAUAAAUCCUGAGACCCUGGAG
This 769-nucleotide long non-coding RNA is filed under the name Heterocephalus glaber (naked mole-rat). RNAcentral describes it as "lncRNA (ENSHGLG00000041232.1)". Lineage: Eukaryota; Metazoa; Chordata; Mammalia; Rodentia; Bathyergidae. The record is from RNAcentral.